RNAcentral lists this ribosomal RNA (450 nucleotides) under Microbacterium foliorum. RNAcentral describes it as "bacterial SSU rRNA". It matches the Rfam family "Bacterial small subunit ribosomal RNA", at positions 73 to 534 of the family's 1533-position model. Lineage: Bacteria; Bacillati; Actinomycetota; Actinomycetes; Micrococcales; Microbacteriaceae. The record is from RNAcentral.
AUUNGGCUUGAUCUGUGGGUCAGUGGCGACGGGUGAGUACACGUGAGCACCUGCCCCUGACUCUGGGAUAUGCGCUGGAAACGGCGUCUAAUACUGGAUACGAGUAGCUGACCGCAUGGUCAGUUACUGUGAAAGAUUUAUUGGUUGGGGAUGGUGCUCGCUGGCCUAUCAGCUUGUUGGUGAGGUAAUGGCUCACCAAGGCGUCGACGGGUAGCCGGCCUGAGAGGGUGACCGGCCACACUGGGCACUGAGACACGGCCCAGACUCCUACGGGAGGCAGCAGUGGGGAAUAUUGCACAAUGGGCGCAAGCCUGAUGCANCAACGCCACGUGAGGGAUGACGGCCUUCNGGUUGUAAACCUCUUUUAGCANGGAAGAAGCGAAAGUGACGGUACCUGCNGAAAAAGCGCCGGCUAACUACGUGCCAGCAGCCGCGGUAAUACGUAGGGCG